RNAcentral lists this ribosomal RNA (253 nucleotides) under uncultured bacterium. RNAcentral's name for it is "partial 16S ribosomal RNA". It matches the Rfam family "Bacterial small subunit ribosomal RNA", at positions 524 to 776 of the family's 1533-position model. The record is from RNAcentral.
UACGGGGGGGGCAAGCGUUGUUCGGAAUUACUGGGCGUAAAGGGUUUGUAGGCGGCUUGUUAAGUCAGACGUGAAAUCCCUCAGCUUAACUGGGGAACUGCGUCUGAUACUGGUGAGCUUGAGUGCAGGAGAGGAAGGCGGAAUUCCAGGUGUAGCGGUGAAAUGCGUAGAUAUCUGGAGGAACGCCGGUGGCGAAGGCGGCGUUCUGGGCUGCAACUGACACUGUAACACGAAAGCCAGGGGAGCAAACGGG